This is a long non-coding RNA of Sphaeramia orbicularis (orbiculate cardinalfish), 302 nucleotides long. RefSeq lists it as uncharacterized. The record is from RefSeq and is a predicted model, not a curated record. Lineage: Eukaryota; Metazoa; Chordata; Actinopteri; Kurtiformes; Apogonidae. The transcript has 3 exons.
UAAAAAGAAACAUGCUGGAGGACAGCUAGUAGGUCUUCUGGUGGUAGGUCCUUCAUAUUCCUCCUGUCAACUCCAUUUUUAUAUAUCCUCCCAGGCAGCUCUGGAGUCGCAUGUAGCUCUUUCAUUCCUCUGCUGCGGCUCCCUGGGGCUUUUGAAAAUUAAUGAGUAUUUAAUUUAUUUUUGUUUAUUAGUUUUUAAAAUGUAAUUCUAAAUUUGAAGAUUAUGCCGAUAUUAGGUAUUACAGGUAUUAUCUCCUGCUGCACAACAAAGUCCAGUCGCUGUCCAGAGUGGAGGUGCUGAAA